UACAGAGGGUGCAAGCGUUAAUCGGAAUUACUGGGCGUAAAGCGUGCGUAGUCGGUUAUUUAAGUCGGGCGUGAAAGCCCCGGGCUCAACCUGGGAAUUGCGUUCGAUACUGGAUAGCUAGAGUUCGGCAGAGGGAAGCGGAAUUUCUGGUGUAGCGGUGAAAUGCGUAGAUAUCAGAAGGAACAUCAGUGGCGAAGGCGGCUACCUGGCCCAAUACUGACACUCAGGUGCGACAGCGUGGGGAGCAAACAGG
This 253-nucleotide ribosomal RNA is filed under the name uncultured bacterium. Its description in RNAcentral is "partial 16S ribosomal RNA". It matches the Rfam family "Bacterial small subunit ribosomal RNA", at positions 524 to 776 of the family's 1533-position model. The record is from RNAcentral.